CGGACGGGUGAGUAAUGCUUGGGAAUCUGGCUUAUGGAGGGGGGUAACUACGGGAAACUGUAGCUAAUACCGCGUAGUGUCGAGAGACGAAAGGGUGGGACCUUCGGGCCACCUGCCAUAAGAUGAGCCCAAGUGGGAUUAGGUAGUUGGUGGGGUAAAGGCCUACCAAGCCGACGAUCUCUAGCUGGUCUGAGAGGAUGACCAGCCACACUGGAACUGAGACACGGUCCAGACUCCUACGGGAGGCAGCAGUGGGGAAUAUUGCACAAUGGGGGGAACCCUGAUGCAGCCAUGCCGCGUGAAUGAAGAAGGCCUUCGGGUUGUAAAGUUCUUUCGGUGAUGAGGAAGGCAACUACUUUAAUAGAGUAGUUGAUUGACGUUAGUCACAGAAGAAGCACCGGCUAACUCCGUGCCAGCAGCCGCGGUAAUACGGAGGGUGCGAGCGUUAAUCGGAAUGACUGGGCGUAAAGGGCACGCAGGCGGUGACUUAAGUGAGACGUGAAAGCCCCGAGCUUAACUUGGGAAUUGCAUUUCAUACUGGGUCGCUAGAGUAUUUUAGGGAGGGGUAGAAUUCCACGUGUAGCGGUGAAAUGCGUAGAGAUGUGGAGGAAUACCGAAGGCGAAGGCAGCCCCUUGGGAAUAUACUGACGCUCAUGUGCGAAAGCGUGGGGAGCAAACAGGAUUAGAUACCCUGGUAGUCCACGCUGUAAACGCUGUCGAUUUGGGGAUUGGGCUUUAAGCUUGGUGCCCGUAGCUAACGUGAUAAAUCGACCGCCUGGGGAG
This 783-nucleotide ribosomal RNA is filed under the name uncultured Actinobacillus sp. RNAcentral describes it as "bacterial SSU rRNA". It matches the Rfam family "Bacterial small subunit ribosomal RNA", at positions 99 to 880 of the family's 1533-position model. The record is from RNAcentral. Lineage: Bacteria; Pseudomonadati; Pseudomonadota; Gammaproteobacteria; Pasteurellales; Pasteurellaceae.